Molecule: unclassified non-coding RNA, 702 nt
Filed under: uncultured fungus
Lineage: Eukaryota; Fungi
Description: partial contains 18S rRNA, ITS1, 5.8S rRNA, ITS2, and 26S rRNA
Rfam family: 5.8S ribosomal RNA (bases 270-423)
Source: RNAcentral
AUCAUUAGUGAAGAUUCAAGGGCCAGCCAUACAGACGUACAAUAAGUGUGUCUCUGGCGGCUCGCAUCCACUAUACAUCCAUAAACCCGUGUGCACUGUUCUAAGGAGUAAGAAAGAAGAAGGGGAGGGGAGAGAGAGUGCAUGUGCUUUGCAUAGAACUCUCUCUCACUCUCCACUCUCUUUCUCUCUCCGGUUAAUUACAAACUCGUAUGGAUUUGUGUGAACGUGAGAUAUAUCGUUGGACCGUCACUGGCCAACAAAUAUAACACAACUUUCGACAACGGAUCUCUUGGUUCUCCCAUCGAUGAAGAACGCAGCGAAACGCGAUAGGUAAUGUGAAUUGCAGAAUUCCGUGAAUCAUCGAAUCUUUGAACGCACCUUGCGCUCUAUGGUAUUCCGUAGAGCAUGCCUGUUUGAGUGCCGUGAAUUCUCCCAUCCCAAGCGGUUUUUAUCAAAGAAUUGCUAGGCGAAGGGGUUGAGAUGGGCGUUAUUAUAACUGCUUUUUUUCUCUAGAAAAGCUCGCCCGAAAAACAGCUAACGCCUCUGGGCCACUUUGCAUCCGCUUCUCUGAGGGGAGAAGCGGCCAAGCGCGCUCUGAUCAUCAGGCAUAGCAUGAUACGUCAUUUGCUAUGCUGUAGGAGAGCAUUUGGUUGUGGUUAUACCGCGUGCGUCAUUUUUUUACUUGCAAAGAGGAAAAAAAAA